ACGCUCGACACCUACGGGAGCCAGCAGUGGGGAAUAUUGCACAAUGGGGGAAACCCUGAUGCAGCGACGCCGCGUGGAGGAAGAAGGUCUUCGGAUUGUAAACUCCUGUUGUUGGGGAAAAAGAGGAUGGUACCCAACAAGGAAGUGACGGCUAACUACGUGCCAGUAGCCGCGGUAAUCUGAGCGGGCUGGCAAGGC
This 198-nucleotide ribosomal RNA is filed under the name uncultured bacterium. Its description in RNAcentral is "partial 16S ribosomal RNA". It matches the Rfam family "Bacterial small subunit ribosomal RNA", at positions 328 to 539 of the family's 1533-position model. The record is from RNAcentral.